RNAcentral lists this ribosomal RNA (394 nucleotides) under uncultured bacterium. RNAcentral's name for it is "partial 16S ribosomal RNA". It matches the Rfam family "Bacterial small subunit ribosomal RNA", at positions 523 to 918 of the family's 1533-position model. The record is from RNAcentral.
AUACGUAGGUGGCACGCGUUAUCCGGAUUUAUUGGGUUUAAAGGGUGCGUAGGCGGCUGAUUAAGCGUGAGGUGAAAUGCCACUGCUCAACAGUGGAACUGCCUCGCGAACUGGUUGUCUUGAAUGCUCCUGCCGUGGGAGGAAUGUGUGGUGUAGCGGUGAAAUGCGUAGAGAUCACACAGAACACCGAUUGCGAAGGCAUCUCACGAAGGGGUGAUUGACGCUGAGGCACGAAAGCGUGGGGAUCAAACAGGAUUAGAUACCCUGGUAGUCCACGCAGUAAACGAUGAUAACUAACCGCUGGGUCGUAGUGAUUCAGUGGCCAAGCGAAGGCGGUAAGUUAUCCACCUGGGGAGUACGACCGCAAGGUUGAAACUCAAAGGAAUUGACGGGG